AGAGUUUGAUCCUGGCUCAGAAUGAACGUUGGCGGCGUGGAUUAGGCAUGCAAGUCGAACGAGUCUCUGGGGGGUAACUCCUAGAGGAAAGUGGCGAAAGGGGCAGUAAUGUAUGGGUAACCUACCUUGAGGUCUGGGAUAGCUAUUCUAACGGAUAGGUAAUACUGGACGGCCUAAGUUGUCGGCAUCGACGAUUUAGUAAAGGUUACGCCUCGAGAGGGGCCCAUAUGAUAUUAGCUAGUUGGUGGGGUAAUGGCCCACCAAGGCAAAGAUGUCUAGCGGGUGUGAGAGCACGACCCGCGUCACUGGCACUGAGACACUGGCCAGACUCCUACGGGAGGCUGCAGUCGAGGAUCUUCGGCAAUGGACGCAAGUCUGACCGAGCAACGCCGCGUGUGCGAUGAAGGCCUUCGGGUUGUAAAGCACUGUCGAGGGGAAACAAGCCGUAAGGUUGAGUGACCUCUGGAGGAAGGACGGGCUAAGUUCGUGCCAGCAGCCGCGGUAAGACGAACCGUCCAAACGUUAUUCGGAAUCACUGGGCUUAAAGGGCGCGUAGGCGGGCGAUCGAGUCAGGGGUGAAAUCCUCCAGCUCAACUGGAGAAGUGCCUUUGAUACUGGUUGUCUAGAGUGAGGUAGGGGCAUGUGGAACUUCCAGUGGAGCGGUGAAAUGCGUAGAUAUUGGAAGGAACACCAGUGGCGAAAGCGAUGUGCUGGAUCUCAACUGACGCUGAGGCGCGAAAGCUAGGGGAUCAAACGGGAUUAGAUACCCUGGUAGUCC
Molecule: ribosomal RNA, 778 nt
Filed under: uncultured bacterium
Lineage: Bacteria
Description: bacterial SSU rRNA
Rfam family: Bacterial small subunit ribosomal RNA
Source: RNAcentral